Molecule: ribosomal RNA, 2183 nt
Filed under: Escherichia coli
Lineage: Bacteria; Pseudomonadati; Pseudomonadota; Gammaproteobacteria; Enterobacterales; Enterobacteriaceae
Description: partial 23S ribosomal RNA
Rfam family: Bacterial large subunit ribosomal RNA
Source: RNAcentral
GUUAAGCGACUAAGCGUACACGGUGGAUGCCCUGGCAGUCAGAGGCGAUGAAGGACGUGCUAAUCUGCGAUAAGCGUCGGUAAGGUGAUAUGAACCGUUAUAACCGGCGAUUUCCGAAUGGGGAAACCCAGUGUGAUUCGUCACACUAUCAUUAACUGAAUCCAUAGGUUAAUGAGGCGAACCGGGGGAACUGAAACAUCUAAGUACCCCGAGGAAAAGAAAUCAACCGAGAUUCCCCCAGUAGCGGCGAGCGAACGGGGAGCAGCCCAGAGCCUGAAUCAGUGUGUGUGUUAGUGGAAGCGUCUGGAAAGGCGCGCGAUACAGGGUGACAGCCCCGUACACAAAAAUGCACAUGCUGUGAGCUCGAUGAGUAGGGCGGGACACGUGGUAUCCUGUCUGAAUAUGGGGGGACCAUCCUCCAAGGCUAAAUACUCCUGACUGACCGAUAGUGAACCAGUACCGUGAGGGAAAGGCGAAAAGAACCCCGGCGAGGGGAGUGAAAAAGAACCUGAAACCGUGUACGUACAAGCAGUGGGAGCACGCUUCGGCGUGUGACUGCGUACCUUUUGUAUAAUGGGUCAGCGACUUAUAUUCUGUAGCAAGGUUAACCGAAUAGGGGAGCCGAAGGGAAACCGAGUCUUAACUGGGCGUUAAGUUGCAGGGUAUAGACCCGAAACCCGGUGAUCUAGCCAUGGGCAGGUUGAAGGUUGGGUAACACUAACUGGAGGACCGAACCGACUAAUGUUGAAAAAUUAGCGGAUGACUUGUGGCUGGGGGUGAAAGGCCAAUCAAACCGGGAGAUAGCUGGUUCUCCCCGAAAGCUAUUUAGGUAGCGCCUCGUGAAUUCAUCUCCGGGGGUAGAGCACUGUUUCGGCAAGGGGGUCAUCCCGACUUACCAACCCGAUGCAAACUGCGAAUACCGGAGAAUGUUAUCACGGGAGACACACGGCGGGUGCUAACGUCCGUCGUGAAGAGGGAAACAACCCAGACCGCCAGCUAAGGUCCCAAAGUCAUGGUUAAGUGGGAAACGAUGUGGGAAGGCCCAGACAGCCAGGAUGUUGGCUUAGAAGCAGCCAUCAUUUAAAGAAAGCGUAAUAGCUCACUGGUCGAGUCGGCCUGCGCGGAAGAUGUAACGGGGCUAAACCAUGCACCGAAGCUGCGGCAGCGACACUAUGUGUUGUUGGGUAGGGGAGCGUUCUGUAAGCCUGUGAAGGUGUACUGUGAGGUAUGCUGGAGGUAUCAGAAGUGCGAAUGCUGACAUAAGUAACGAUAAAGCGGGUGAAAAGCCCGCUCGCCGGAAGACCAAGGGUUCCUGUCCAACGUUAAUCGGGGCAGGGUGAGUCGACCCCUAAGGCGAGGCCGAAAGGCGUAGUCGAUGGGAAACAGGUUAAUAUUCCUGUACUUGGUGUUACUGCGAAGGGGGGACGGAGAAGGCUAUGUUGGCCGGGCGACGGUUGUCCCGGUUUAAGCGUGUAGGCUGGUUUUCCAGGCAAAUCCGGAAAAUCAAGGCUGAGGCGUGAUGACGAGGCACUACGGUGCUGAAGCAACAAAUGCCCUGCUUCCAGGAAAAGCCUCUAAGCAUCAGGUAACAUCAAAUCGUACCCCAAACCGACACAGGUGGUCAGGUAGAGAAUACCAAGGCGCUUGAGAGAACUCGGGUGAAGGAACUAGGCAAAAUGGUGCCGUAACUUCGGGAGAAGGCACGCUGAUAUGUAGGUGAAGCGACUUGCUCGUGGAGCUGAAAUCAGUCGAAGAUACCAGCUGGCUGCAACUGUUUAUUAAAAACACAGCACUGUGCAAACACGAAAGUGGACGUAUACGGUGUGACGCCUGCCCGGUGCCGGAAGGUUAAUUGAUGGGGUUAGCGGUAACGCGAAGCUCUUGAUCGAAGCCCCGGUAAACGGCGGCCGUAACUAUAACGGUCCUAAGGUAGCGAAAUUCCUUGUCGGGUAAGUUCCGACCUGCACGAAUGGCGUAAUGAUGGCCAGGCUGUCUCCACCCGAGACUCAGUGAAAUUGAACUCGCUGUGAAGAUGCAGUGUACCCGCGGCAAGACGGAAAGACCCCGUGAACCUUUACUAUAGCUUGACACUGAACAUUGAGCCUUGAUGUGUAGGAUAGGUGGGAGGCUUUGAAGUGUGGACGCCAGUCUGCAUGGAGCCGACCUUGAAAUACCACCCUUUA